RNAcentral lists this ribosomal RNA (1114 nucleotides) under Nicotiana glauca (tree tobacco). RNAcentral describes it as "eukaryotic LSU rRNA". It matches the Rfam family "Eukaryotic large subunit ribosomal RNA", at positions 2016 to 3204 of the family's 3401-position model. The record is from RNAcentral. Lineage: Eukaryota; Viridiplantae; Streptophyta; Magnoliopsida; Solanales; Solanaceae.
UGCUUUUGCGGCAAGAGCGGGUCACCGCGUACCGGCCGGGGGAUGGACUGGGAACAGAUCCUUCGGGGGCCUUCCCCGGGCGUCGAACAUCCAACUCAGAACUGGUACAGACAAGGGGAAUCCGACUGUUUAAUUAAAACAAAGCAUUGCAAUGGUCCCUGCGGAUGUUUACGCAAUGUGAUUUCUGCCCAGUGCUCUGAAUGUCAAAGUGAAGAAAUUCAACCAAGCACGGGUAAAUGGCGGGAGUAACUAUGGCUCUCUUAAGUUAGCCAAAUGCCUCGUCAUCUAAUUAGUGACGUGCAUGAAUGGAUUAUCCAGUGAAACCACAGCCAAGGGAACAGGCUUGGCAGAAUCAGCAGGGAAAGAAGACCCUGUUGAGCUUGACUCUAGUCCGACUUUGUGAAAUGACUUGAUAGGCGUAGUAUAAGUGGUAGCCGAAAGGCGAAAGUGAAAUACCACUACUUUUAACGUUAUUUUACUUAUUCUGUGAAUCGGAAGUGGGGCACUGCCCCUCUUUUUGGAACCAAGGCUUGCUUGCAGGCCGAUCCAUGCAAAAGACAUUGUCAGGUGGGGAGUUUGGCUGGGGCGGAACAUCCGUUGAAAGAUAACGCAGGUGUCCUACGAUGAGCUCAACGAGAAUAAAAAUCUCGUGUGGAACAAAAGGGUAAAUUCGCGUGGCCUAACGAUCCUUUAGGCCUUCGAAAUUCGAAGCUAGAGGUGUUAGAAAAGUUACCACAGGGAUAACUGGCUUGUGUCAGCCAAGCGUUCAUAGCGACGUUGCUUUUUGAUCCUUCGAUGUUGGCUCUUCCUAUCAUUGUGAAGCAAAAUUCACCAAGUGUUGGAUUGUUCACCCACCAAUAGGGAACAUGAGCUGGGUUUAGAAGGUCGUGAGACAAGUUAGUUUUACCCUACAGAUGACAGUGUCGCAAUAGUAAUUCAACCUAGUACGAGAGGAAUCGUUGAUUCGCAUAAUUGGUCAUCGCGCUUGGUUGAAAUCCAGUGGCACGAAGCUACCGUGCGCUGGAUUAUGACUGAAUGCCUCUAAGUCAGAAUUCGGGCUAGAAGCGACGCAUGCUCCCGCCGUCCGCAUGCCGAUCCGCAGUAGGGGCCUUUG